ACAAAGAAAAUCCAUUAGACACACAGUCAGAUUCAGCAACUCUUUUCUGGAGAAGAAGAAGAUGCUACUCAUAGUACCUGUGUUGAUCUUAUGGAUGCAACACAUAAGAUCCCAAGUGGACGGACAGCAGAUAAACCAAAUUCCUAAAUUCUCGCUCCUACAAGAAGGAGAAAACUUCACCACAUACUGCAAUUCCUCAAGCACUUUAAACAGCUUUCAGUGGUAUAAGCAGAGGCCUGGGGGGAGUCCCGUCUUCUUGAUGUUGUUGACUAAGCCAGGAGAAGUGAAGAAGCUGAACAGAUUGACAGCUCAGUUUGGAGACACUAAAAAGGACAGCUCCCUGCACAUCACGGCCGCCCAGUCUGCAGAUGCAGGAACCUACUUCUGCGCGGAGGCACAGUGCUCUGGGAGCACCUGCUGUCUGUCCCCAAACCUCGCUGUGGGCCCCAGGUGCAGCUCCUCCUCAUCUCUCCUCAGAGCAGGAGCCAGAGGAAGCUGA
This is a non-coding RNA of Phacochoerus africanus (Common warthog), 499 nucleotides long. The record is from the annotation of a RefSeq genome assembly. Lineage: Eukaryota; Metazoa; Chordata; Mammalia; Artiodactyla; Suidae.